Phascolarctos cinereus (koala) is the source of this 1509-nucleotide non-coding RNA. The record is from RefSeq and is a predicted model, not a curated record. NCBI's taxonomy places the organism in Eukaryota, Metazoa, Chordata, Mammalia, Diprotodontia, Phascolarctidae.
GCAAAAUGGGAUAGUUAUUUUAUUCGACUCCCCCUUACUCUUAAACCUUUCAAAAAGAGAAAUCAUAUGACAAAGAUAAAGCAAAUCCAUCUGUCUUCAUGUUCUAGGACACCCAGAAUCCAAACAAAGGUUAAAAAAAAAAGCCUAAAACCUAUGACUAAAAGAAGGCUCAAAUACUCAAAUUCUUUCCAGGAAGACUCGCCCUGUACCCUUAUGUUUCAGGGUUCCCAGCAACCCAAACUGCAUCACAGACAUCUUCGAAUAAAUACUGAAAAACAAAGGAGAUAGAGGACUCCUAUGGAAUAUGAUACACACAGAACUACAACAUGAUUUGUUCUCAAGUGCUUCAAAAGGAAAAUGAGAAUUAUGAACACAUAAUUAAUGGCCUGCAUAGGAAGAAUAAUUGGUAGAAUUAGAAAAACUGGAAUCUUCAAUGGCAAGUAACAAAAGCAAAGUAAUAAAAAGGAGAACAAUAGACUGGGAAGCAAAUUCACAGAAGUGAAAGACUCUUGGAGAAGCAAAAAACAGUAACAUUAAAAGGAAAUAUGCUCAUUUUGCAAGCAAAACAUACUGAUCUAGAAGACAGAACAUAUAAAGAACAAUCUAAGAAUCGUAACUCUCCCAGAAGAACACAACAGGGCAAAAAACCUUAAUCCUAUUAUGAAGGAAAUAGAAAAGAGCUGCCCAGAACUUCUGAACACAGAAAAUGAAAUAUCAAUCAAAAGAAUUUAUAGAUUGCUUCCAGGAAAAAAAAAACAGCUGCAAACUGCAAGACACACAGUGGUUAAAGUUAAUUCAAUUCAGAAAUAAGUUCAGCAAGCAAUCAGAAGAAAGCCAUUCAAACAAAAAGAAAAAGACAUUUGAAUAAGGCAAGACUGUUCUGCACCCACCAACAAAUAUAAUAGAAAGUAUAGCAAAGAGCAAAGAAGCUCAAGAUGCAAGCCCAGGGUAACCUACUCUGUAAAACUGAGAUUAACCAUGCAUGAAAAAAGAUGGAUGUUCAAUAAUAAAGAGGACAUUUGAAACAUUUUUAAAAAGAAAAACCAGAACUGAAAAAAUUAUUUGCUCCUCCAACAUCCCAAAUAACAGAAAGGCAGAAAGAAUUAAUAAAUCCAGCAGCCAAGGACAGCAACAGAACGACAGCAGAGAGAGAACAGUAAUAGGCUUCUUUCAAAAUGUACACAUAGAAUGAAAGCAGAAAUCUGUUUGAGGAGGAAGAAAGAGAGGUAUGGCCAAGAAAAAAAAGUGGGGAAGAUAACUGUGACUGUGAUGAACACUCCAACAUGGAGACAGCUUUCUGGAAGGAAAAUGGCAGAAGAGGACAAUAUGAUAUAAGUAAUGAAGAAAGAUGUCAAUAAUUUUUAAAAUUUAUUCAUAGAUGAAUUUGGCUUCAGGAUCAUUUGACCACAUACUCUGCCAAUAUAUGAUGUUUUAAAAUCCUCUGAAAAGCUAAACAAGGCUUGGAAAAAAUAAAAACACUUAAUGUAGAUAACAAGUAUGCAACUUACA